Molecule: long non-coding RNA, 1022 nt
Filed under: Homo sapiens (human)
Lineage: Eukaryota; Metazoa; Chordata; Mammalia; Primates; Hominidae
Description: HSALNT0377567
Source: RNAcentral
AUCUUUCCAGAAUUCCAUGGAGAUACUGAACAGACACAGAGAGCAGAGCGGAUGUGGCAAGAGGAAGAGGAAGAGAGAGGAGACUUCGGAAGGAGUGGAGUCAUUCUGGGAAGAGGGAAUGUUGAGAAGGGCACAGCUUUGAGAAGCCUGUGCAAGGGCUAGGGGAUGGGGCAGGGACAAGAGAUAGGGGUGUGCUGACGGCAGCUCCUGGGUUUCUGGCUGUGCUGAGCAGAGAAAAUAUGAAGGAGACGCAGGCUUGGGAGAAGAUGGACACUUCAGUUGUUGAUGUGUUAAGUGGGAGGUGCUGUUUAUACCACUGAAUGGACUUCUCAAGGGAGCAAGUAGGUAAACAGUUGGCCCUCCGUAUCCACAGGUUCCAUAUCUAUGAAUUCAGCCAACCUCAGAUCACACAAAUAAAAAACAAUACAAUGAAACAACUAUUUAUAUAGUAGCAUUUACAUUGUAUUAAGUAUUGUAGGUAAUCUAGAGAUGAUUUAAAGUAUAUGGGAGGAUGUAUACAGCUUGUAUGCAAAUACCAUCGAGGGAAGAGAGAGACCCUCUCAUAUUGUUUUAUAUUGUUUUAUACUCAGUACCUGUUCUAAAAAAAAAAAAAAACAAGGAAGUGAAAUCAAAGACAGGCAGCCCGGCACCAGGCUCAAAACCAGGCCUGGGCCUGCCUGGCCUAAACCUAGUAGUUAAGAAUCAACUCAUGACUUAGAACCCAAUGUUACCCAUAGAUUUCAGGCAUUGUAUGGAAGAACAUUGUGAAACUCCCUGCUCUGUUCUCUUUCACUCUGACCACCAGUGCAUGCAGCCCGUCACGUACCCCCUGCUUGCUCAAAUCAAUCACGACCCUUUCAUGUGAAAUCCUUAGAGUUGUGAGCCCUUAAAAGGGACAGGAAUUACUCACUCGGGGAGCUCGGAUUUUGAGACAGUAGCUUGCAGAUGCUCCCAGCUGAAUAAAGCCCUUCCUUCUACAACUCGGUGUCUGAGAGGUUUUGUCUGCGGCUCGUCCUGCUACA